Molecule: ribosomal RNA, 499 nt
Filed under: uncultured bacterium
Lineage: Bacteria
Description: bacterial SSU rRNA
Rfam family: Bacterial small subunit ribosomal RNA
Source: RNAcentral
ACUUAGAGUUUGAUCAUGGCUCAGGACGAACGCUGGCGGCGUGCUUAACACAUGCAAGUCGAGCGGAAAGGCCCUUCGGGGUACUCGAGCGGCGAACGGGUGAGUAACACGUGAGUAAUCUGCCCCUAGCUCUGGGAUAGCUCCGGGAAACCGGGAUUAAUACCGGAUACGACCACCUUAGACAUCUUUUGUGGUGGAAAGAAUUUCGGCUAGGGAUGAGCUCGCGGCCUAUCAGCUUGUUGGUGGGGUAACGGCCUACCAAGGCGACGACGGGUAGCCGGCCUGAGAGGGCGACCGGCCACACUGGGACUGAGACACGGCCCAGACUCCUACGGGAGGCAGCAGUGGGGAAUAUUGCGCAAUGGGCGCAAGCCUGAUCCAGCGACGCCGCGUGGGUGAUGAAGGCCUUCGGGUUGUAAAGCCCUUUUCCCGGGGACGAUGAUGACGGUACCCGGGGAAUAAGCACCGGCUAACUCCGUGCCAGCAGCCGCGGUACGCC